CCCCGGUAAACGGCGGCCGUAACUAUAACGGUCCUAAGGUAGCGAAAUUCCUUGUCGGGUAAGUUCCGACCUGCACGAAUGGCGUAAUGAUGGCCAGGCUGUCUCCACCCGAGACUCAGUGAAAUUGAACUCGCUGUGAAGAUGCAGUGUACCCGCGGCAAGACGGAAAGACCCCGUGAACCUUUACUAUAGCUUGACACUGAACAUUGAGCCUUGAUGUGUAGGAUAGGUGGGAGGCUUUGAAGUGUGGACGCCAGUCUGCAUGGAGCCGACCUUGAAAUACCACCCUUUAAUGUUUGAUGUUCUAACGUGGACCCGUAAUCCGGGUUGCGGACAGUGUCUGGUGGGUAGUUUGACUGGGGCGGUCUCCUCCUAAAGAGUAACGGAGGAGC
This 392-nucleotide ribosomal RNA is filed under the name Salmonella enterica subsp. enterica serovar Typhimurium. RNAcentral's name for it is "partial 23S ribosomal RNA". It matches the Rfam family "Bacterial large subunit ribosomal RNA", at positions 1918 to 2309 of the family's 2925-position model. Lineage: Bacteria; Pseudomonadati; Pseudomonadota; Gammaproteobacteria; Enterobacterales; Enterobacteriaceae. The record is from RNAcentral.